This is a long non-coding RNA of Cannabis sativa, 496 nucleotides long. RefSeq lists it as uncharacterized. NCBI's taxonomy places the organism in Eukaryota, Viridiplantae, Streptophyta, Magnoliopsida, Rosales, Cannabaceae. The record is from RefSeq and is a predicted model, not a curated record. The transcript is spliced from 2 exons.
GAUGAAAAAGAUAAUUAUGCUUUAAUUAUCUAAUUAUCUUAAGUUUAAAAAAAUUAAAGAUAAACACUUCACCAACCUUCUCUCUCUUUGUUCGGUCACCACCAAGAACCAAAGAAACCAAAAUCUUUCCUCUCAAUUUUAGACAAGAAAACCAUGGAUUUCAAUUAAGAUUUUGGUAGAUUAAGUGUGGGAUAGCUCAAGGUCGACGAAGAUAGUGGUUGUUUGUGGUUCCCAUGGCGGUUUGGGGUUUCAAGAGGUUUGUGGCUGUUUGGGGUUGACGACAAUUACAUUUUCAAGGCGAUUUGUGGUCGACAAUGCUUCUUGUACUCUUGGUUGCCAUUGAAGAGGCUGAAAAUAUUUGGCGGACCCACAUUGUAGCGACUGCCCCCCCUGAAAAAAAAAAUCGAGAAAAAAAUGUAUAUGUAUUUUAAUUAGCUACAACAUAUAUUUGUAUUAAAAGAUGAUAUUUAUAGACAUAAUAGUAACCUUGGUGUAA